GGGGUUGUGGCUCAGUUGUAAAGCACUCAUCUGGCGUGUGUGAGGCACUGGGUUCAAUCCUCAGCACCACA
RNAcentral lists this transfer RNA (71 nucleotides) under Marmota monax (woodchuck). RNAcentral describes it as "tRNA.Ala". The record is from RNAcentral. Lineage: Eukaryota; Metazoa; Chordata; Mammalia; Rodentia; Sciuridae.